GACGAACGCUGGCGGCGUGCUUAACACAUGCAAGUCGAGCGGUAAGGCCCUUUCGGGGGUACACGAGCGGCGAACGGGUGAGUAACACGUGGGUGACCUGCCCUCAGCUCUGGGAUAAGCCUGGGAAACCGGGUCUAAUACUGGAUAUGACUCCAUGACGCAUGUUGUGGGGUGGAAAGCCUUGUGCGGCUGAGGAUGGGCCCGCGGCCUAUCAGCUUGUUGGUGGGGUGANGGCCUACCAAGGCGACGACGGGUAGCCGGCCUGAGAGGGCGACCGGCCACACGUGGGACUGAGACACGGCCCAGACUCC
This 311-nucleotide ribosomal RNA is filed under the name uncultured bacterium. Its description in RNAcentral is "bacterial SSU rRNA". It matches the Rfam family "Bacterial small subunit ribosomal RNA", at positions 28 to 339 of the family's 1533-position model. The record is from RNAcentral.